RNA transcript from Paramacrobiotus metropolitanus, 1355 nucleotides. RefSeq lists it as uncharacterized. The transcript is spliced from 4 exons. NCBI's taxonomy places the organism in Eukaryota, Metazoa, Tardigrada, Eutardigrada, Parachela, Macrobiotidae. The record is from RefSeq and is a predicted model, not a curated record.
UGUAAUAUGCAUGUACUGGCAGUACUGACAGUUUUUCCAGUAAUUAUGUACAUUAUACAAUUACGGAUUUGUUUCUACUGUAGCUUAUAUUUUCAAAAUAAAAUUUUAUUGUUCUCUGAAGGCCGAAUAAAUUUUGAUUCUGUUUUUAUUUGUUAUACGGAACUAAUGACACUAUGGCGACAGCACGGGGAACCCAUGGAACGGCUCAGAUUUGGCCAUGGCGCUGAACCAAUUUGAUGUGUUCAGUGCCUGCAACCGUUGUCCCGUAGCGUUUACGGGAAUGUUUCGCCGUGUUGACUACCUGACUUCCGUUAGGCCCGAAUUUGAAAGCGACUUUUAUGAUGUUCACCAGCUGCUGCAUUAUUUUACGGUUCCCGAGUAUAUGUCAGUUGUUCCCCAAGGAACUAUCAAGGCCAUGAAGUCUGGCCCACGCAAAACCACUCCACACGGGACUACUUUUGAUAUCAGUUUUGGGGAUCGACGUAUUCCCGACUAUCUUACAAAAUUUGGAAAAGACGGUGAACGAUUGAUCUAUAUGUGCACUGAGGUCAAGUUUAAGCGUGAGGACCUGGAGCUUUGCCUGACGCAACUGGCCGAACAGCUGCAAACGGUGUUCCAGUCGGGACGCUCAUCCCCUCAUGGUGUUCUGGGACUGGCAUUGAUGGGUGUGUACGGGCAGCUGUAUUUUCAAACUGACGAGCACUCGAGUAUGGAGGCCUUAACACCGUGGAUGCAUGUAACAUACAGCCGCCUCUCUACGACCAUGAGGACAUGUCUCAUAGGCCUCCACGCCCAGACCACCCUAUCGCUCGAACCCGAUGCUGAUGCCUCGCCGUGAUCAAAAUUCUCACCCCCUCUCAUUUCCGACUGUUUUUGGCACUUUUUGCUAACCCUGGCACUGCCGUAAAUUUCCGGAGGAGAAGGAUGAAAUGAUUAUUGAUGGGAUUUUUUGGAAUGGAACUCUUCUCACAUAUUUUGUCUUCUUUUGCAAGCGGCUCAAGAUACCCCUCGUCCGGACGACGAUGAGGACUGUAAAUCUGGCAUUUAUUAAACAACGUGGAAGGCGUUAACCAUCCCCAUUUCAAUACUUACGGUUGCCGCUUACUUUUGAGGAACGCUUUUGUUUUUGAUUCCUCCUGCGUUUGUUUUUCUUUUCUCGAUUAUUCUAAUUUUGUACGAGUCGAAAGUAGUCAGCUCUUUACGAAUGGUUCGACAUUAGUCUCUUGCGCCUAAGUUAUUAUGGAAACCAAAAUUUAAUGCUCGGCUUUGAUGCAUUUUGCGAAUCAUGGUUCAUGGAGACCAGAACCUUUUAUUUCAUUCAGUCGGGUUCAAGUUCAUUAAAAUGAAAAGAGAGC